UUUCUAAUAACUCACUUUCCUGAUAUGCAACUAGUUUCUUAAGAAGUGGUUACAAAGAGUUUGUAGUAAUAGAAAAUGACAGAUUUUUGAAUGAUUGCAAUUUGUUGUUUUGUAAAAGAAUCAUGUGAAGCUCUUAAGAGUAGCACAACUUUUUGUUAGCAAGCAAAGCUCUGCUGUUAGCUACUUGGGCCACACAUCAUAGACACCAUAUUGGCAACCUUAGAAACUCCUGUUUUGUCAUCAACCACUUUGUCCUCUACCAUGAGCGUUUCUUUUUUCUCGGAAAAAGAUUAUUAGUAUUUUAUAACUAAUGUUUUGCUUUUCAAUUGCUAAAGAUUGGUUAUUAUCUGGUUGCUGUUGAGAAUGAUUCAGGAACUGUUGGUUUUUCUUCCAAGAAUCACUCUCUUGAAUCUUGAUGGCUCCUGUGUUGAACAUGCAGAUCAGGAUAUGCUCUGUUUUGUGUUAGAAGGAAGUCUCUGAAGAACAAGGUACAUAUUAUAUAACAGGGUUCCAACGGAGAACCGUGCAGAUAACUUAUUUGGGACAGCUUCUACAAAAAAACAUAUUCCGGCAAAAGAAAACAAUGCAACUACCUACACAUGGCUUAUUAAAGGCAAACAACACGAUUGGUGAGACCCCUGAAACGUCUCUCUUCACUACAGGAUUUGGAUUCUUUGUGAACCCCCAUAUCUUCUUCUCUCAUUCGCCAUGAGUUUUAUUUGGUUUUGCUCACCUUCCCUCUACUCUGGACACGACUAGCUGCACUUGUUCUUGUUCUAGCUUUGAGGUCUGAUUUUUCUCCUUCGUUGCUGAUUGUUUUCUCUGUGUGUUGGCGUUUUUGAAGGUAGACUUGUUUAGAACCAUUCUUCCUAGCUGCAUGUUUGUUGAUGUGCUUUGGAAGCUGAUUGCUAGGCCCCGAGGAUGCAUCAGAAGCCAUGGAAUCAUCACUCUCUUCAUCACCACCAUCAUCACUAGUAUCGCCAUCAUCGUUCUCAUAACCAUCAUCAGCCUCUUUAACCUGUGUAUCAUCAUCAUCAUCAUCGACAACAACAGAUGAUUGGUCAUUUCCAUGGAAGGCGUCUUCUAUGUACAUAGUCCACCCUGACUCACAACUGCUGUAUUCCUCCUCUUCAGAGCCUCCAUGGUUUCUCGGAGACUCCAUGGCUUCACGCAACAGAAAGAGGAAAACAAAACCAAGGUCUCAAAAUUAGCUUAUAUGCACAGACACAAAAAGAUCACUUACUUCUUCUAGUUACGUACCUUAUGUGAUCCAAUCCACUUCACCAAUUUACUCUCUGAUAUAGGUAUCAAGAAAAGCCGGAGCCUAUAGGAAGCCUCAUAUAAUUGAAGAGAAGGAGUAAGUUUCACCACAUGGCAACCCUAGCACCAUUGUUUUCACUCAAUUGAAGCACUACCAGACAAAGCUCAUUGCAGAUAUAUAUCAAGGGAAGGAAGGUUAGUGCCUCCCUUCAUUAUAAAGUACACUCUCUUAUAGAAUUAAAAGCCUAUGCUCUUCUUUUUCAAUAUCAACUAACUAUACUUUUCUUUAAACAAAUAUUUUGGUUCCUAACAAACCAUAAUCUAGUCUUAGAGUCAGGACACAUCAAUAUCCACAGAACAAGAAUCAUCCUUGUAAGCUCUGUCAUUAGUUAUAUGACUUCUUAAUUGAUAUGUGAAGUUAUAAGUUAUCUCUAUCUCUCUCUCUCUUCUCUUCUCUCUAUGUAUGACUCUGGCUAUCUUAAAUAGAAAAGAUCAGCUUUUGAGGUGGAAAUCAGAAGAGACCCACAUGAACAAACAAGAAGGAAUAAAAGAAGCAUUUACUUAAUUAGGUUAAGAGCUGUUCCUCUUUCUCAUUCCUUUAAUACUCUUCUUCAUCCUCCAAUCCUCUCUCAUUGUCUUUAAAAUUGUUGCAGCCUUUUACUUCAUCUCUCAUUGUAUUGAAAAGGUUUACACAACUGGAUUUUGUUUGUCAUUUUUGUUUUAAAAGAUAAGGACAAAACAAAAAGAAGUAAACAACUGUCACAAACCCCAAAAUAAAAGUAAAAGACAGAAUUUGCAAAUUACAAGAAUAAAUUGUCUUCAUUGCGUUUCCUGUUUCUCUGGCGUCACCUUAAAAUGUUCUUUCAGUGGAGGCCCUCUUGGUGACAGCUUGCAAAUCAAGUGUGUGAUGAGAGUUCAUUUUACAAAAGGGUUGUUUUGUUUUGACUUUGACUCUUGUUUGAAUAUUGUGUAAACAAAGAUAUUAAGACAUUAUACAUUAGUUUGACUCUACUUUUAAUAAUGUAUCA
RNAcentral lists this long non-coding RNA (2288 nucleotides) under Arabidopsis thaliana (thale cress). Its description in RNAcentral is "potential natural antisense gene, locus overlaps with AT1G26210 (AT1G26208)". Lineage: Eukaryota; Viridiplantae; Streptophyta; Magnoliopsida; Brassicales; Brassicaceae. The record is from RNAcentral.